GGGCCCGUAGCUCAAUGGUUAGAGCAGGCGACUCAUAAUCGCUUGGUUACCGGUUCAAAUCCGGUCGGGCCCACCA
This 76-nucleotide transfer RNA is filed under the name Pseudomonadota bacterium. Its description in RNAcentral is "Proteobacteria bacterium tRNA-Met". It matches the Rfam family "tRNA". Rfam says of the family: Transfer RNA (tRNA) molecules are approximately 80 nucleotides in length. Lineage: Bacteria; Pseudomonadati; Pseudomonadota. The record is from RNAcentral. RNAcentral also lists the same sequence under 2 other names.